CCAGAGAGAUAAAUGUAUGAAUUUAACUUCUAUAUUUACCAACUAUAGGAUGCUGGACAAGCAAUUUUGUGUUGUUGCUGAUGAUUGGCUUGCUGUAGAAUAAGAAUAAAUACAUUCACCUCAUUGAGUUGCUGUGAGUGCUAGAGGAGAAAACAUGUUCAAACAUCUGAUAUUGGGUGUGUCACAGAGUUUUUAGUUGCCAGCAAUAGUGAAUAAAACUUUUUACUUGCCUUGGCCAUGGCUGGCCUAUAAGCUAAGGGACAA
This 264-nucleotide long non-coding RNA is filed under the name Homo sapiens (human). Its description in RNAcentral is "HSALNT0174347". The record is from RNAcentral. Lineage: Eukaryota; Metazoa; Chordata; Mammalia; Primates; Hominidae.